CAUCAUUUAUUAUCUGAAGGACUCAUUAGAAGUGAAGAACAUAAAUGAAUAAAUGAAGGCCUGUCUCUACAGCUGAUGGUGAAGAACCUGAAUCCAGAAUGUGCAAACAAAGAUUUCAUCUGACUAAUUUCAUCAAACAUGAUAUUCUUAAUUUCAUUUUCAGCUGUCAUGGUCUAGGUCGUUGACCCCAAGUUUUGAAUUUGGGAGGUCUUGGGGUUUGUUCUCAUUUCUUUUUCCAUAUCUUUGUAUUAUAAUUCUGUUGUCCUGUUCUAUAGGUUUUUUUUUUUUUGGUUCAUCCUAGGUUAAGAUGAGAUUUGGGUUGGAUCUCCAUAGUCUCCUUCUUUUCUUUUUUCCUGUGCCUCUGAGUUUCAUUAUCUCUAUUUUUGGUUUCUUGUUUGGUUAACUUAGUUUCCCUUUAUUUCCAUUCUGUGUUCCUUAUUAGGUUAGGCAAUGUUUAGUUAUCAUCUUUUGUGUUUCCUUUCUUUCCUCCCUAGUCAGUCCUGUCUUUGUGUGUUUAUUCUCCUGUUGCUCUGUCAAGUUUGUUAUUUCCUGUUUUAUUUUGAUAGUCUUCUGUUUCAUGUGUAUUAUUUUCAGUUUUGCUUCGCCUGUCUCAUCACUCAGAUUAGUGACAGCUGUGUUCCCGCCUGUGGCCCGUCUCCCUGGUUAUCCUCAUUGGCUGUGUCCCAAUUCAGAGACCGCAUGCAUGGAGUAUGCAUUUUGAGACUCCAAAUGUGCCGUCGAUUUCCCCAAACAUCAAGCGUCGUCCGGUGCACGCUUCGUGGUCCCAUAUAUCCCACAAUUCAUAGAGCGGCGGUGGGUGUGGAUAGUUUUGCCGCAAAACACGGCAGACGGCAGAAGCGGAGCGGCCGAAGAGUGAAUAUCAUGUCACUUAUUUAUGUGCGAAUGUUUAAUAAUGAAGAACAUCAAAACAUUACUGUUGGCCACAUGUCGGCAAAGUUAUGUGACAUUAGCGAUGUUUGUACUUUCAGCGUUAACUUGGUUUAGAGCCUUUACUUUAAAAUAUACACCGUUCAACAGUUGACCUUAAUCCUACAGAGAAUGUGAUGAUUUUAUGGAUAAUUAAAGUCAG
Molecule: long non-coding RNA, 1090 nt
Organism: Astatotilapia calliptera (eastern happy)
Lineage: Eukaryota; Metazoa; Chordata; Actinopteri; Cichliformes; Cichlidae
Source: Ensembl